RNAcentral lists this long non-coding RNA (778 nucleotides) under Felis catus (domestic cat). RNAcentral's name for it is "lncRNA (ENSFCAG00000042334.2)". Lineage: Eukaryota; Metazoa; Chordata; Mammalia; Carnivora; Felidae. The record is from RNAcentral.
UUUCAAUAUUUUAUAAUUUAUCCAAUAGAUAUUAAUGAAAUCCUGAGGAAUGCUGAUGGAGAAUACUCAAGAGUUUUAACCAUUUCCCCUUUUCCCAAAUCAGUGAAUGAGCAGUGACAGUAGUAAUAACAAUGAAUAUGGGGAUCUCCAAAGGGGCACCUGGUGAAUAGCACUCCUCUUCCCCACCAGGCUUCUAAACUUGUUGAGAAAUAAGAAAACUGAGAGAAGUAGAGGGUAAGUAUCACCUUGAUUGUAAGAAGAAGCCACCUUGGAAGAUGUGGCUGUAAGUCUUCUCCACCAAUCAUGACAAUGCUGAACUGGGACAGGCCUCCCAGUUUGGCUGGCAUCAACAAAAACACAGAGGAUUUACUUUCCAGGAAUUUUUCAUGUGCCUCCUCCUGGCACAGGAGCCUGUCCCAAACUGGACCCAUGGGAAAAACGAUGUUCAUUAAAAGGAAGAUGGGAGCAGACCCUGACCCAAUGGGACAAAGAAUGCUACUAUUAAUUUCAGCAAAGGAAAUACACAUUUCCCACAUGCUAAUUCAAGUAUACAGACAUCUGAACUCAACCAUGGAAGCUGGUGGCAGACUGUUCAACCUUUGGGGUGAUGAUCUAUAGGACAUUGUUUGUAGGCUGAUUUGAUAAAUGUUGCAUGCAUUGAAAGGGAGCUGCCCACUUUGGAAAAACCUAACUCGGUAAAUUCAUCUUGGUUCUGAAUACAUGUUUUGAGCUCCUUUUUGUCUUGAACUGGACACUUUAGACUGUGUCCUUGAUGGAU